UCUUGUUGAAAGGGAAGGGCAUUAGAUCAGACUUGGUGUUUUACGAUUAUCUUCUCUUCUUGAGUUGUGCACUCGUAUUUCACUGGGCCAGCAUCGAUUCGGAUGGCAAGAUAAUGGCAGUUGAAUGUGGCUUCACUUCGGUGGAGUGUUAUAGCUUCUGCUGAUAUUGCCGUCUA
Molecule: ribosomal RNA, 176 nt
Filed under: uncultured Wickerhamomyces
Lineage: Eukaryota; Fungi; Ascomycota; Saccharomycetes; Phaffomycetales; Phaffomycetaceae
Description: partial large subunit ribosomal RNA
Source: RNAcentral